AUUGUUUCCUGGUACUUGCCCAACCAGCAGUUUUAUCUGGUCAAGUGAAUGAUUAAUGGUCUGGGGUCCAAAGUCAUCUCAAUAUAUUGUCAAAAAAUGUAAGAAGCCCAGCUCACUGCAUUAGACCUGGGUAUGGAGUAUGAGUACCUAGUCGGCGUUGAAUAGAACUUGUGUUGGAAGAUGAACUAAAUACUGGGUAAAGGUGACUGAAGCUGACACUCAACCAACCCAAGAAAAGGGAUUGGUUGAGAUAGAUAACAGGACAUUGGAAAUCAGAAUCCACUAAAGAAUAUAUAUCAACACAUCUAUGGAAUCAACUAACCCUGAAAAUGAAUGGUUAUGUAUCAUAAGAUCCCAUUCACAGCUAUUGUUGUCAAUGAGAAAAAGCAGGAA
This 393-nucleotide non-coding RNA is filed under the name Monodelphis domestica (gray short-tailed opossum). Its description in RNAcentral is "Eukaryotic large subunit ribosomal RNA". It matches the Rfam family "Eukaryotic large subunit ribosomal RNA", at positions 974 to 1380 of the family's 3401-position model. The record is from Rfam by way of RNAcentral. Lineage: Eukaryota; Metazoa; Chordata; Mammalia; Didelphimorphia; Didelphidae.